AAAAUAUUGUCAUUUUAUAUAUCUGGUCCAAUAUUAUUCUAUGUUUAUAUGGGUUCCCAUUACAUUACAUUUAGCACCAAAAAUGAAAUUAAAAAAAGAAAAAGAAAGAAAGAAAAGUGGUUUUUUUUUUUUUUUUCUUGCUACAUGCCUCCCUCUACUUCCUUCUUUCUUUAGCAUGUUUCCUUGUACGCCUCCCCCUGUUUUUCGGCUUCAAGAAGCAGUUUCCCCUCCCCUAUUUUAGUUUUUGUUUACCUUCUUUAUCAUCUUCACCAUUAGUACAUUCAAUCAAAAAGAUAAGCCACCUUUUACCUUAAUUAUCUGAUAUGGUUCAACUUUUACAAGAAAACAAUAAUAAAUUGAGAACUCAAUUUUAUCUCAUGAACACAAACAUUCAUCUUUUAAGAUUAUAAAUUGAGAACAAAAAAUCACCAAAGGAGGAAGAGUUUUUUUAAACUGAAGAAAAAAAUAAAAAUAAAGAAAUAGAAAGUGAGACGUAGAAGAGAAAC
This 506-nucleotide long non-coding RNA is filed under the name Cicer arietinum (chickpea). Its description in RNAcentral is "long non-coding RNA (CARI_LNC003640)". Lineage: Eukaryota; Viridiplantae; Streptophyta; Magnoliopsida; Fabales; Fabaceae. The record is from RNAcentral.